CUACGGGACGCUGCAGUGAGGAGUUUUGCGCAAUGGGGGAAACCCUGACGCAGCAACGCCGCGUGAGCGAAGAAGGCCUUCGGGUCGUAAAGCUCUGUCAAGUGGGAAAAACGUUUUCCGGUCAAUAGCCGGGAGAUCUGAUGGUACCGCUGAAGGAAGCACCGGCUAACUCCGUGCCAGCAGCCGCGGUAAUACGGAGGGUGCAAGCGGUGUUCGGAAUUAUUGGGCGUAAAGAGCGUGUAGGCGGUUUGGUAAGUCAGAUGUGAAAGCCCUGGGCUCAACCUGGGAAGUGCAUUUGAAACUGCUUUACUUGAGUAUGGGAGAGGAGAGUGGAAUUCCUGGUGUAGAGGUGAAAUUCGUAGAUAUCAGGAGGAACAUCUGUGGCGAAGGCGACUCUCUGGACCAAUACUGACGCUGAGACGCGAAAGCGUGGGUAGCAAACAGGAUUAGAUACCCCUGUAGUC
This 464-nucleotide ribosomal RNA is filed under the name uncultured bacterium. RNAcentral's name for it is "partial 16S ribosomal RNA". It matches the Rfam family "Bacterial small subunit ribosomal RNA", at positions 339 to 795 of the family's 1533-position model. The record is from RNAcentral.